Molecule: ribosomal RNA, 259 nt
Filed under: uncultured Enterococcaceae bacterium
Lineage: Bacteria; Bacillati; Bacillota; Bacilli; Lactobacillales; Enterococcaceae
Description: partial 16S ribosomal RNA
Rfam family: Bacterial small subunit ribosomal RNA
Source: RNAcentral
UACGUAGGUGGCAAGCGUUGUCCGGAUUUAUUGGGCGUAAAGCGAGCGCAGGCGGUUUCUUAAGUCUGAUGUGAAAGCCCCCGGCUCAACCGGGGAGGGUCAUUGGAAACUGGGAGACUUGAGUGCAGAAGAGGAGAGUGGAAUUCCAUGUGUAGCGGUGAAAUGCGUAGAUAUAUGGAGGAACACCAGUGGCGAAGGCGGCUCUCUGGUCUGUAACUGACGCUGAGGCUCGAAAGCGUGGGGAGCAAACAGGAUUAGA